This 2704-nucleotide long non-coding RNA is filed under the name Theobroma cacao (cacao). RNAcentral describes it as "long non-coding RNA (TCAC_LNC006428)". Lineage: Eukaryota; Viridiplantae; Streptophyta; Magnoliopsida; Malvales; Malvaceae. The record is from RNAcentral.
UAUUCUUGGUCCUCGGGCACAAUAUCUUUACCCUUAUCAGAGGGCUCACCACCUAUACAUAAUACACGACAUGUAAUUCAAUAUAUUUGUGCCAAACUGUUAUAAAACUAUUUCAGGCUCUAUAUGAAUGCAUGACAUUGAAUGAGAAUUGUCCAAAUAAUCACUUAAAUACGGUCUUCUACGUCGGUUCAAUUAUGAUCGGAUUGAAUUGGCAUUCGACUUAACUUGCACUAUGCCUUGUUUAAUUAGCCAAAACAUCUAAUUCAACUCCAAAUAUCUUCAUUACACUUUCAAUAUUCCAAAUACACCAAAGUACCUCAAUGAGCUUAAUUGUGACUUAAUUCACCAUAAUCGAAAUUCAUUCCGAUUUCGAUAUCCGAUACCAUAAAUCAUCAAUUACGAGCUAAUUAACAUGAAAUACAAUAAAAUCCAUCACCAACAUGUCACCUAAUAAAUUCGACCAAAGAGGGUUAUUGAAGAACAUGUGAUUUUCUUUCUUGCUUUUCCUUCCAAACAUCACAAAAUGACUAAAAACACUAGGAUAUUAUGAAAUCUAGCAAAAUUCAUCACUAAAACUUCUCUCUCUAGAUUUGGCCAGCAAAGGUUCCCUCUUGAAAACUUGAAUUUCAGCCAUGGAGAAUGAAAAAGAAUGCAUGGGAAAGGUACAUCACAAGCUAAAAUAAAAUAAUCUUACCUUUGCUUGCUUGAUUCCUUGAAAUCCAACAAUUUCUCUUGGAUUUUCCUUCCUAGGGUUUGUUCUUAUCUUUUUCUCUUUGUUCCCUUGCUUGGCAGGCCAUAAGAGUGUGAAUGUGGAGGUUUUCAGUGAGUUUAUAUAGGUAAUUAAAAUAAUAUUAAAGCUUGACACUUGUCACCUUUUAAUUGGUCCAUGUUUAAAAACUUAAUAAUUAAGCAUUUCAUUCCCACCACAUAUAAUCUCUCACUUAAAAAAAUAAUGGGUGAAAUUCAUGGAUUUGACAAGUGUCAUGGUGGUGUAAAAUUCUAAAAUUUUCAAUUUCGUCCUCAUGGACACUUAAAAUGAUCGUUUUGCCCCUAUGUUCGAAAAAAUGUCAAAAUUGAAAUUUUCACUUUUCAAAUUCAAAUAAUGCUCUAAUUAAUCAAAUUUAGUCAAAAUAUCAUCCAACAUUUCUAUUUUGCCCUUGGGUGGCAAAAUGACCAUUUUGCCUCUACGUUAUGAAAAUUCCCGAAUUAACUCCAAAUCAAUCCUCGAAUUCCGAAUCAUCAUGUUAAGACAUUCUAAGAUUCAAUAACUCUCAAAUACAUCGUAAAAUCUUUAUUUAGCCUAGUUCGAGGCUUUAAUCAACUUAAUUGUACCACUAGAUACAAUACCGACUUUUAACGAUUUUUUGAUACAUUCACUUAUGCAAACAUUCUAUCAAGCACAUGAAUGACAUGACAAGUAUAUAAUAGAGUAGGGCUUGACAAUAAUGGGGGUACUAAUCCUUCCCCGUUCGUAACGUAUUAUAGAACCCUAACUUUAAAUUCGCAGACUAGGUUAUUGUUCUGUAAAUGAACCUAAAGUUAAUUUAGGACUUCGUCGAAUGGAACAUAUUUAAUAAGUGGCCAAUCACACCAAGAUGACAAAAGAUUGGUGGUGACUCCCAACACUCCAAAUCUAGCUGACGGGUUCCCAGACUUGCGCGUUACGAUAGCUUGACAACUCCACUGGAGAGGCUUUAAGAGUUGAGCCAUUAAUUAAUCAUACGUUAUCCUAAGUUUUAAAUAAUUUACUGUUUCUUUUAAUCUCAAGAAUUUACUUUGUGCAUUAUUGUUUGUUGCAUUUAUUGUUUCAUUAUUGUUAUUUUAUUGCUUUUAAUAAUUGUAGAUGUUCUAGGAUAGAGGGACUUAAGAUGAGUGGUUAAAGAUCGGUCUAUUCCUUCACACACAUGACACUAUUUGCAUUCAUGCAUGAGCCUUAUACCCGGGCUCUAUCCUCAUUAAGAAGGGGUUAAGUAGCUACGCUCUCAUAAGGUGAUAAUCUUUGUAUGGGCUAGCGAAACACUUCCACUCAAAUUGAACCUAGUCAAUUUGAAGCCGACAAUGGAUGAGGACCAAGGUGCCUUGCUAAUCCGAGUGGGACAUGUUGGGAAUUUUGAGAAUAUGGUGCCCUAGAAAGGAAGUGUAUUCUCAUACUUAAAUUCAUUAAAUUAAUUUGUAAUGAAAGUACAAUUUGAUAAUAAGACAAAAAGUUUGUUUCAGUAAGCAUUCAAUAUUUAGCUAUUAAAGUACCAUGUUCUAUUGAGAUAUUAAAAUACAUUUGUAUGAAGAGUCAUACAUAGGAGACAUGUAUUUUAAUUGAAUCUAAAAAUUGUUCACAGCCAUAUAAUAAAGUUGGUCACCUUAUUGUUGUCAUGUCCCGGAACUCCCAUCGAGCCUAUGACAACCGCUGCGGUGCCUCGAUGGGCAAUCAUCUCCCAAAAUGCCAACCGAAACUCCGCAAGGCUUAAUAUCAGUUUCUCAUUUCCCCCGAUGAGUAACCAUUGCCAAAUAUUAUGUUCCAAAGGAUUUUGAACUAUUUCCAACUUAAAACAGAUAAAUUAAAAAUUUUUGUCUCACAGGGGCAUUUUGGUCAUUUUCUACUAAAAAUUUUGAAACCAGUUAAAAAUGUAGUAAACAAGUACCAAUCGCAUAAUUCACAAUUAAAAAUAAGUUAAAGCAUCUAAAACCUUUAUUUAAAAUAGAAUUA